AACUGAUGGACUGUUAGAGGUUAACAGUUUAUUGUCCCAAUCUGUUUAGCAAUUCCUAUUUCCCCGGGAUGAGCUGCUUUCUGUUCUACCAUUCUGUUAGCAAGUCCUAUUCUUAUGGGACUAGUUGUUUUCUGUUCCUCGUCUUUGUUAUUUUGAUUGCUGCAUCUCUUUGUAAAAGGCUAUAUAAGCAUGCUGUUUGUGAUGAAUAAACAAGAGACUCAUCUC
Long non-coding RNA from Populus euphratica (Euphrates poplar), 225 nucleotides. RefSeq lists it as uncharacterized. The record is from RefSeq and is a predicted model, not a curated record. Lineage: Eukaryota; Viridiplantae; Streptophyta; Magnoliopsida; Malpighiales; Salicaceae. The transcript is spliced from 2 exons.